This 1487-nucleotide long non-coding RNA is filed under the name Cyanistes caeruleus (blue tit). RNAcentral's name for it is "lncRNA (ENSCCEG00000003661.1)". Lineage: Eukaryota; Metazoa; Chordata; Aves; Passeriformes; Paridae. The record is from RNAcentral.
CUGUCCCUACAUCUCCACUGGCCUCUCCCUGCCAUGCUCGGGCCCUGCCACAUGGACACCUGGGCACUGAGCGCUGACUCGGGCUGCUCUGUCCUUCACAGGCAACUGUGGUGAUAUGGAAGAUGCUCCAGCUGCCCUGUGUCCCACAUGCAGUGACAGUGUAUUUCCCCCGUCUCUUGGUGCAUCUGCUCUUGCAAGUGCUCUUCAGCACAUUGGAUAUGCCAGAGAAGGUCGAUACUUUCUGGAAGAGAUGCCAGCAGCAACACGGCCUUGCCAUCAGCCCCAACAGGUUUGCAGUGCAGACCCUGAAGGCCCUGCUCUGCCGACUGCACUAUGAGGAUGUGGUGGCAGCAGUGGAAGACGAGUGUGGCUGGGACACGCUGCUGUGUGCUGGCACGCACCACUGUGCUGUGGGUGUGCUGGCCAGAGCAAUGCGUCACGUGUCCCUACCCUUGUGUUCUGCGAUUGCAUUCUACCUGCUCGGGCUGCUCAGCAAAGACACGGCACACGGGGAUUUGGCCGCCAUGGCGUUCCUUGUGGAGAUGUUGGAGUGCCUGGACUCGAGUGAAUACCGUGACAGCGUCCUGGAGAUCGCAUCAAACAAACUGCAGAGCGAGUGCAGGGAGAGGCGUCGCUUGGCACUCAGAGGCCUUGUGGUGCUCGGCAAGAAUUCCUCCAUGGCCAAAAGAAUGUGGGGCCUGCAUGAAAGGCUCGUGGAGCUCCUGGGGGAAAAUGACAGCCAUGUGCUUGGGAUGAGCAUCGCUCUCCUCAGCCGUUUGUUCCUGUACAAUGGUGGCCCGAUAACCAUCCCCCUCGGCCUGCAGCUGGCUGAGGCGCUCCUGCCGCUCUUUGACAAUGACGAUAGCCAGGUGCAGCUGUGCUCCAUGUUCAUCUUUCGAGAGAUGAUGGAUUUUCUACCAAAGGAGGGAAAAAAGGCCUUGAAGUCCCACGUGCAGCAGAGCCUGCUCCCACUCUCCUUGCACUGCCAUGACGAGAACCAGCGCGUGGUUGAUGUGAGGACUCGGCAGCUGCCGUGGCUCCCUGGCAGGGCGCUCGGCUGCCUCCUGCUCUGCUGCCUUGCAGGCUGCAGCUCCCUCCUGGUCUUGGCCCAGGGACGUGGGUCCUGUGCCCUGGGCUGUGGUGCCAUCUCUGGGUCUCUGCUGCUCUCCAGGCCUCCCGGGAAACGCUGCUCUGUUCCGCCCGAUUCCUGAAGAGGAAGGAUCUCCAGCAGAUGCUGCGGGUGGAUCAGACCUGGAGGUUCGGCGAGGGCCUGGUAAGGGCGGGCUGGAAGCCCCAGCCCCAGGCUGGAGAAGCUCAGUGUGUGCGGCUGGCAGCUGUGCCCUGCCCAGUGCCGCACCCAGGGCCGCCAGCCUGUGCCCCACACGCUGCUCCCUUCCCUGGGCCCCGCGGGCUCUACUCCAGCCCCCUGUGGCCCCGAGCCGUGUGCCCAUGGAGCCCCGGCACCGCUGGUCUGUCGGGCAAAGCAG